UACGUAGGGCGCGAGCGUUGUCCGGAAUUAUUGGGCGUAAAGAGCUCGUAGGCGGCCUGUCGCGUCAAUUGUGAAAGCCCGGGGCUCAACCCCGGGUCUGCAGUCGAUACGGGCAGGCUAGAGUUCGGUAGGGGAGAUCGGAAUUCCUGGUGUAGCGGUGAAAUGCGCAGAUAUCAGGAGGAACACCGGUGGCGAAGGCGGAUCUCUGGGCCGACACUGACGCUGAGGAGCGAAAGCGUGGGGAGCGAACAGG
Molecule: ribosomal RNA, 253 nt
Filed under: uncultured bacterium
Lineage: Bacteria
Also listed under: 1 other name
Description: partial 16S ribosomal RNA
Rfam family: Bacterial small subunit ribosomal RNA
Source: RNAcentral